AUGGAACGUUUCGAUUUUAAUGCUUGAAUGGUUGUCUUUCUGUGCGAGGAGCACUCAUUUCGAUUUAGGCGGUGCCCGCGGUGAGAGACGAAGGUGACUACGGCGGUGGCGAUGGAGAUCGUAGUGCAGCCGAUCCGAUCAUCCCCAAACUGGAGGAGGUGAGGGAGAGUGCAAUCCCAGUGGAUCUGCCUGAUAACGGCGCGACGAGCGAAGCCAUGGCCGCUGAAGAAGCGAUGAGGCCCGCCAUGAGUGCGGACGGGCAAAUCAGCGCGGAAGACAUGUUGGUUAAUCAGAGACGUGAGAGCUCGCCACAGGCAUCAGAAAUGUUGACUGGGAAGAUGAACCCUCAAGCACCAGGAUGUGUUAAAAGGUGCGUCUUUCAUGUGCAGCAAAUCUGUGUCUUUUUUUUUAUUCCAGGAGAAAUGUCCAGGCUGUUGGCUGUGUUUGUGUGCGUAUGCUGGAAACAUUCGUCGUUGCUGCCAGUAGAGAUGCGUGGAGUCUCCAUGAAGCUUGUGCUCUUGCUUUCCGUCAUGUGACCUUGGUUACAGGUGUUAGUUAGAGAAGGAAAAACUUGGAACAGAAAAUGCAAUGGAUUAGUUCAGUUAGUGCAGCAAACAUAUCUUAGUUGUAUGGUAAAUGUUUGCAGAAACAUGAGUAAUGAAUUAAACUACUUUGAGAUUUUGUUAAGUGAGGUAUUGUGGUCAAUUUGUUCAGCUAGUGCACCUGCCGAAAUGCAGUAUAGUAGAUAGGUUUUAGUCAUUGCUUAGGAAAAUCAUGGAAAACAAUGCAUGUAAAAAUAUUUUGCGGAGAGAACUGAAAUAUGGAUUAAACUGGUUAGCUUUUAUUUAUUUUCCAGUAGAUGUUGGUAGGGAAAAUUUUACAUAAUGAACAGUCUACUGCUGAGCUUUGAUGCUCGUACAACGAAUGCAGUGGGGUACUGUGUGGUGGUUGGAACACUAUUUGGAAAUAAGUAAGCCUGGGAAAAUUUUAUGUCAGAAAAAAAAGUAUGGUUUAAAAUAUUUAUACAUAUUUUUCAGGUAAAUGAUACAAAUGAUUGUUUCAGGAUAGUUGUUGAUGUUGAAAACAAUUGAUACUGGUCAGAAUAAACCAUGGUUUACAAUACUGACUUUGUUGAGGUAAAUGUUGUCAGUGAACUGAACCAUGCAGGAAUGAGCAGACUGCUGUUGUUUUACGUGAUGUUAUUUGUGUGAGCUUUGAUGUCCGUAUUACGAAUGCACAGUUUGCAAAGGACAUUAUAAGCAAUCAACGAAUCAGAUCUUCUGGGCGGCAAGUAUAUCUUCCGUCCUGGCUUCCAGACAAAUCCUUGGAGUAGGGGAGUUGUUCCAUACCACGACAGUCGUCAGUUUCCGGACUUCUACAAGAGUUCUUCAACUCUGUGUCUGCCAAUCAUCUGUCUGGCAACUUCCUUGUACAUGAGGUUCCAAGGUUCGUCAGAAUAACUGGCACAACCAUCAGGGACCAGUUGGCUGGAAGCAGACUCACAUGAAUUGAUGUCACUACUAGACAUCGAUAUGCACAACUCGACUUCGAAGCGGAAGGCAAAUGCCCUUACCUGAGCUGGAGACAUCCAAUUAACCUGAAUUAUCGUCGUCAGACCUUCAUGUUGUCCGGCGCAGACUACAUUCACACAAUCUCCAUCCAGAGACAGUUCGUAGGCGACUUGCUGAUAUAUGAUAUCACAUCUUCACAGAUAUUAUAUCUCGACAUCUACCCCCACCCCCCACCCCCCCUCCCCCUCUAAUCUACAAUCAUUAGUUCAGUAAUACCUUCUCAUUACCGCUCACCACAGUUCUUCACACAAGUGCCUGACAAGGAAGGUUGGAUGAUCAUUUUUUGGGGAUAUGGUCACCAAAGUGAUCAAUGUGUUUGACCCCCUGUUUGUCAGAAAUUCACCAGACCACCAAGGACGAGGCAAUUGCAUGGAGCUCCAAAUGCUCUCUGCAACUGUUUUAAUGAAUAUUAUGCAGAGUGGCCAACCAACAAGGAUGGUUGGGGGAAAAAGAACCCAGCUCUUACUGACACCAUUUUCUCCUGUAACAACACAAGAGCAUGCAUUCUGCACAUCGCUUGUAACUUCGAUUGAGAAAAGCUCAAGCUCCCCCCUGAGAAGCAACAUGUCCUGAAAAAAAAGAUGGAUGCCCUGCAUGAGAUCACGAAGCUUCAUGGAAACUUCUCCACGCUCGCUUACGAGGCACUAUAGAAGGUCCUGGCGUCAUUCGAAUCUGCCUUCGACAAUUAGGCGACCAUAGCUCGUGCCUCUAUCAAGCACUGAGCUUUAGUCAUUAGCUUUUGUUUUAGUGUCCUAGAACGUGUAUCAUGACACUGUCGAAUUUCCGGCCACCUCCAUUGCACUCAUACCUUUUGCUUAGAACCAUGGAAUUUGUACCCUGGUUUAUAAAA
Long non-coding RNA from Triticum aestivum (bread wheat), 2421 nucleotides. RefSeq lists it as uncharacterized. Lineage: Eukaryota; Viridiplantae; Streptophyta; Magnoliopsida; Poales; Poaceae. The transcript has 7 exons. The record is from RefSeq and is a predicted model, not a curated record.